RNAcentral lists this ribosomal RNA (352 nucleotides) under uncultured bacterium. RNAcentral describes it as "bacterial SSU rRNA". It matches the Rfam family "Bacterial small subunit ribosomal RNA", at positions 8 to 353 of the family's 1533-position model. The record is from RNAcentral.
AGAGUUGAUCAUGGCUCAGGACGAACGCUGGCGGCGCGCCUAACACAUGCAAGUCGAACGGAGUCAAGAGGAGCUUGCUUUUCUUUGACUUAGUGGCGAACGGGUGAGUAACGCGUGAGUAACCUGCCCUGGAGUGGGGGACAACAGUUGGAAACGACUGCUAAUACCGCAUAAGCCCACGGCCCGGCAUCGGGCUGAGGGAAAAGGAUUUAUUCGCCUCAGGAUGGACUCGCGUCCAAUUAGCUAGUUGGUGAGGUAACGGCCCACCAAGGCGACGAUUGGUAGCCGGACUGAGAGGUUGAACGGCCACAUUGGGACUGAGACACGGCCCAGACUCCUACGGGAGGCAGCA